This 604-nucleotide ribosomal RNA is filed under the name Salmonella enterica. Its description in RNAcentral is "partial 23S ribosomal RNA". It matches the Rfam family "Bacterial large subunit ribosomal RNA", at positions 2202 to 2805 of the family's 2925-position model. The record is from RNAcentral. Lineage: Bacteria; Pseudomonadati; Pseudomonadota; Gammaproteobacteria; Enterobacterales; Enterobacteriaceae.
ACCCUUUAAUGUUUGAUGUUCUAACGUGGACCCGUAAUCCGGGUUGCGGACAGUGUCUGGUGGGUAGUUUGACUGGGGCGGUCUCCUCCUAAAGAGUAACGGAGGAGCACGAAGGUUGGCUAAUCCUGGUCGGACAUCAGGAGGUUAGUGCAAUGGCAUAAGCCAGCUUGACUGCGAGCGUGACGGCGCGAGCAGGUGCGAAAGCAGGUCAUAGUGAUCCGGUGGUUCUGAAUGGAAGGGCCAUCGCUCAACGGAUAAAAGGUACUCCGGGGAUAACAGGCUGAUACCGCCCAAGAGUUCAUAUCGACGGCGGUGUUUGGCACCUCGAUGUCGGCUCAUCACAUCCUGGGGCUGAAGUAGGUCCCAAGGGUAUGGCUGUUCGCCAUUUAAAGUGGUACGCGAGCUGGGUUUAGAACGUCGUGAGACAGUUCGGUCCCUAUCUGCCGUGGGCGCUGGAGAACUGAGGGGGGCUGCUCCUAGUACGAGAGGACCGGAGUGGACGCAUCACUGGUGUUCGGGUUGUCAUGCCAAUGGCACUGCCCGGUAGCUAAAUGCGGAAGAGAUAAGUGCUGAAAGCAUCUAAGCACGAAACUUGCCCCGAGAU